This 748-nucleotide long non-coding RNA is filed under the name Patiria miniata (bat star). RNAcentral describes it as "uncharacterized LOC119733366, transcript variant X1". The record is from RNAcentral. Lineage: Eukaryota; Metazoa; Echinodermata; Asteroidea; Valvatida; Asterinidae.
UUCAGGUACAUGUAGGUCAGUAUUAAACUCGGCAUAGGCUAAACGUGCACAACGUGCCGAAUAUACAUGCUGGUUAAAUUUCAUGGAUUUUUCAACCACAAAAACAAUUGUGAGUAUCAUUGAAGCCCCAUUACUUCGUCUUUGAUACGUGUGGAAGCCAGUAAAUGAUUUGAAAGAUCAGAGCCUUCAUGUCAAAUUAGACAUGAUUUUGGACAACCAAAAAGAGGAGUUGUGCCUCUUGAGGAAAGUGGCCAGGCUCCGAGCUCCUGAUGAUGAGGACAUCGAAGAAUUUACUCCAAAACCUCUGGAAACUGUCGCAGAACUGGAGGACCUAUGUGAAAAGCUGAAUUCUCCUGAAGAGGCCAACUUGAAAUAACAGAUGAUUUGUCACUUUACUUCCAUGGGAGGCUACAACCUUGGCGAGAGUGUCUGCCGCAUGCUACGCAGGCUAGGGACAAAUAUGCUGUGGUCCCUUUACAGCUACAAGGGACGAAAGGGGAAAAGAGCUCUGAGCGAUCUUCAAAUCUCCCGGGUGUUAAUCAAAGCCUGUCUGAGUGCCCACCCAUAAAGCCGAGUCUUGGAAAUUGAAGAAACCAUCCAAGAGACUCUCAAGUACUGCCCAAACCGAAAGGGUGGGGCAAAGUACAAGAAUCCUGAUGCCAACACGAUCGCAACACCAGAUGAGGCCACCACCGACUUUGAUGACUAGCCCAACUGAAAAUGAUUGGUAACAACACCCCCCCCCCCC